GACGAACGCUGGCGGCGUGCUUAACACAUGCAAGUCGAACGGAAAGGCCCUGCUUUUGUUGGGUUCUCGAGUGGCGAACGGGUGAGUAACACGUGAGUAACCUGCCCUUGACUUUGGGAUAACUUCAGGAAACUGGGGCUAAUACCGGAUAGGAGCUCCUGCUGCAUGGUGGGGGUUGGAAAGUGUCGGCGGUUGGGGAUGGACUCGCGGCUUAUCAGCUUGUUGGUGAGGUAGUGGCUUACCAAGGCUUUGACGGGUAGCCGGCCUGAGAGGGUGACCGGCCACAUUGGGACUGAGAUACGGACCAGACUCCUACGGGAGGCAGCAGUGGGGAAUAUUGCACAAUGGGCGGAAGCCUGAUGCAGCAACGCCGCGUGCGGGAUGACGGCCUUCGGGUUGUAAACCGCUUUCGCCUGUGACGAAGCGUGAGUGACGGUAAUGGGUAAAGAAGCACCGGCUAACUACGUG
Molecule: ribosomal RNA, 468 nt
Filed under: uncultured bacterium
Lineage: Bacteria
Description: partial 16S ribosomal RNA
Rfam family: Bacterial small subunit ribosomal RNA
Source: RNAcentral